CAAAAUUUAUUCAGAGUAAUUAACUCCUAUUAAAAAGUACUUGUACCUGAUUCACCUUACAUUAGUUUUCUAUUCCUGUUGUCGACAGUCAGACAAAUAUAAUCUUCCUCCAUCAUUCUCUGGACAUUUUCAAGUUUGUCGGCGAAUUGAAGAAAUAAUCGCAUAAUUGAGGCGUAAUCGAGGUUUCCAAUGAAAUAAUUCUCACGGGCACAAUUGAUGAUGACCUCUACCACUUCUUCUUGCAGAAAUCUCCCUCAACACCCAAGAUUUCAAGAUCCUUGAUAUCUGACAAUAAGAGCAGAAAAGGUGUUCCUGCUUCUAGCUCGUCACCUGUUGUUUUUUCAUGCUGUCUUCAAUUCCUCUAGUUCUAGCUUAGAUCUAUGGCACAGACGUUUUGGUCACUGUCCCUUUGAUGUUGUCAAGAAAGCUCUAGAUCAUUGUAAUAUCUCAUUCAAUUUAAUAAAAGAGUCUGGUCUUUGUCUUCCUUGUUCA
This is a non-coding RNA of Salvia hispanica, 492 nucleotides long. The record is from RefSeq and is a predicted model, not a curated record. NCBI's taxonomy places the organism in Eukaryota, Viridiplantae, Streptophyta, Magnoliopsida, Lamiales, Lamiaceae.